This 1080-nucleotide ribosomal RNA is filed under the name Chaetomium globosum. Its description in RNAcentral is "eukaryotic LSU rRNA". It matches the Rfam family "Eukaryotic large subunit ribosomal RNA", at positions 38 to 1151 of the family's 3401-position model. The record is from RNAcentral. Lineage: Eukaryota; Fungi; Ascomycota; Sordariomycetes; Sordariales; Chaetomiaceae.
GCAUAUCAAUAAGCGGGAGAAAAGAAACCAACAGGGAUUGCCCUAGUAACGGCGAGUGAAGCGGCAACAGCUCAAAUUUGAAAUCUGGCUUCGGCCCGAGUUGUAAUUUGCAGAGGAAGCUUUAGGCGCGGCACUUUCUGAGUCCCCUGGAACGGGGCGCCAUAGAGGGUGAGAGCCCCGUAUAGUUAGAUGCCUAGCCUGUGUAAAGCUCCUUCGACGAGUCGAGUAGUUUGGGAAUGCUGCUCAAAAUGGGAGGUAAAUUUCUUCUAAAGCUAAAUACCGGCCAGAGACCGAUAGCGCACAAGUAGAGUGAUCGAAAGAUGAAAAGCACUUUGAAAAGAGGGUUAAAUAGCACGUGAAAUUGUUGAAAGGGAAGCGCUUGUGACCAGACUUGCGCCGGGCAGAUCAUCCGGUGUUCUCACCGGUGCACUCUGCCCGGCUCAGGCCAGCAUCGGUUCUCGCGGGGGGAUAAAGGCCCUGGGAACGUAGCUCCUCCGGGAGUGUUAUAGCCCGGGGCGUAAUGCCCUCGCGGGGACCGAGGUUCGCGCAUCUGCAAGGAUGCUGGCGUAAUGGUCAUCAGCGAACCGUCUUGAAACACGGACCAAGGAGUCAAGGUUUUGCGCGAGUGUUUGGGUGUAAAACCCGCACGCGUAAUGAAAGUGAACGUAGGUGAGAGCUUCGGCGCAUCAUCGACCGAUCCUGAUGUUUUCGGAUGGAUUUGAGUAGGAGCGUUAAGCCUUGGACCCGAAAGAUGGUGAACUAUGCUUGGAUAGGGUGAAGCCAGAGGAAACUCUGGUGGAGGCUCGCAGCGGUUCUGACGUGCAAAUCGAUCGUCAAAUCUGAGCAUGGGGGCGAAAGACUAAUCGAACCAUCUAGUAGCUGGUUACCGCCGAAGUUUCCCUCAGGAUAGCAGUGUUGUCUUCAGUUUUAUGAGGUAAAGCGAAUGAUUAGGGACUCGGGGGCGCUUUUUAGCCUUCAUCCAUUCUCAAACUUUAAAUAUGUAAGAAGCCCUUGUUACUUAAUUGAACGUGGGCAUUCGAAUGUACCAACACUAGUGGGCCAUUUUUGGUAAGCAGAACU